GAGUUUGAUCUUGGCUCAGAACGAACGCUGGCGGCAUGCCUAACACAUGCAAGUCGAACGAACUCUUCGGAGUUAGUGGCGCACGGGUGCGUAACGCGUGGGAAUCUGCCCUUGGGUACGGAAUAACUCAGAGAAAUUUGUGCUAAUACCGUAUAAUGACUUCGGUCCAAAGAUUUAUCGCCCAAGGAUGAGCCCGCGUAAGAUUAGCUAGUUGGUGGGGUAAAGGCCUACCAAGGCUACGAUCUUUAGCUGGUCUGAGAGGAUGAUCAGCCACACUGGGACUGAGACACGGCCCAGACUCCUACGGGAGGCAGCAGUGGGGAAUAUUGGACAAUGGGCGAAAGCCUGAUCCAGCAAUGCCGCGUGAGUGAUGAAGGCCUUAGGGUUGUAAAGCUCUUUACCCGGGAUGAUAAUGACAGUACCGGGAGAAUAAGCUCCGGCUAACUCCGUGCCAGCAGCCGCGGUAAG
RNAcentral lists this ribosomal RNA (468 nucleotides) under uncultured microorganism. Its description in RNAcentral is "bacterial SSU rRNA". It matches the Rfam family "Bacterial small subunit ribosomal RNA", at positions 9 to 524 of the family's 1533-position model. The record is from RNAcentral.